Molecule: ribosomal RNA, 495 nt
Filed under: uncultured bacterium
Lineage: Bacteria
Description: partial 16S ribosomal RNA
Rfam family: Bacterial small subunit ribosomal RNA
Source: RNAcentral
GACGAACGCUGGCGGCGUGCCUAAUACAUGCAAGUAGAACGCUGAAGGAGGAGCUUGCUUCUCUGGAUGAGUUGCGAACGGGUGAGUAACGCGUAGGUAACCUGCCUGGUAGCGGGGGAUAACUAUUGGAAACGAUAGCUAAUACCGCAUAACAGUAGAUAUCGCAUGAUAUCUACUUGAAAGGUGCAAUUGCAUCACUACCAGAUGGACCUGCGUUGUAUUAGCUAGUUGGUGAGGUAACGGCUCACCAAGGCGACGAUACAUAGCCGACCUGAGAGGGUGAUCGGCCACACUGGGACUGAGACACGGCCCAGACUCCUACGGGAGGCAGCAGUAGGGAAUCUUCGGCAAUGGACGGAAGUCUGACCGAGCAACGCCGCGUGAGUGAAGAAGGGUUUCGGAUCGUAAAGCUCUGUUGUAAGAGAAGAACGAGUGUGAGAGUGGAAAGUUCACACUGUGACGGUAUCUUACCAGAAAGGGACGGCUAACUACGUG